RNAcentral lists this long non-coding RNA (634 nucleotides) under Chrysolophus pictus (golden pheasant). Its description in RNAcentral is "lncRNA (ENSCPIG00010005193.1)". Lineage: Eukaryota; Metazoa; Chordata; Aves; Galliformes; Phasianidae. The record is from RNAcentral.
AUUAUUAUUACUAUUUGUUAUAUUUUUACUCACUAAAGAAUGAAUCAACCAUUCCCAAAAGCCACCAUUAUGGAUUGGUGAGACAUGGCACACUGCCACCUCGUUCCUUUCCUGCCCUCAGCCAUCUGCAGCUGCUGGGGACUCACUCUUAGCACUUGAUUGGGUGCAAAGUUGCCAUUCAGAUGGGAUCUGUGGUCAGGCACUGCCUGCUAGCACAGGUCACCCUCCUGAUGGACAGCAGCUCUCUUCUGCCACAAUACUGUUGAUCUGUGCUGGCUCCCCGGGUUCACACCCUUGUUGUACUUCUCAGCCAAUGGGUUUAUUUCUGUUCUUUCAUCUUUUUUUUCUUUUUUUUUUUUUUCUUUUUUUGUUGUCUUGUAAAAUGCUUGCCAUAUGUGAGGAUUAUCUGAGAAAAGGCACUUUUUGCAGUUGUUGUGGUGGGACUCACACUUUCCCAGCAUUGUCAUGUAGGAUGUUGGUGUAAACACUACCUGCUGGUGAUUAGAGGUCAUCCUGCAGUUCUCCUUUCAUCAGAGCAUAAGUACAAGCAUGGAUGCUGCAGAGGUCCUGCCUAUGCAACAGGCUGGAUUUGAGCUGGCUAAGGGCAAUGCACAUCUUUGGACCAGGAGUAACA